Molecule: long non-coding RNA, 425 nt
Filed under: Mustela putorius furo (domestic ferret)
Lineage: Eukaryota; Metazoa; Chordata; Mammalia; Carnivora; Mustelidae
Description: lncRNA (ENSMPUG00000024720.1)
Source: RNAcentral
UGCUCCCUUCCAUAGGAAACAUUAAGAUGUCCUGAGCUUCUUGGGGCUGUGGAAAGGGAUGCCUGCUUGGUUUUCCCAUUUUUCUUUCUUCUGCUUUCACCUAAAUGGACUGGGCAGUUGCAUGAAAGGAAUGACAUACUUGUCACUAUCAUGCAUGUGAAGACAAUGAAGCUGAAUUAGAGAGUUUUUCCAAGUGCGCAUAGCCGGUAAGUGGAAGAGGUUGGUAUUAAAACUAUGCUGCUCAGAUUCUGUAGCUCUUUUCACCAUUAUGUGUUCUGCCAUUUUCCUAUCUUGAAGGGAACGUUAUUGUGUAAGUUCAAAUAAUUUUACAAGGUGAUCUUGUGCAGACCGGUCCUCAUAGACAGAGGGCAAGGAGAAACCAAAGAAAGAGAAGGAUCACUCCAGACUGGUAGGUGGCAGUUUUA